Long non-coding RNA from Piliocolobus tephrosceles (Ugandan red Colobus), 1963 nucleotides. The record is from Ensembl. NCBI's taxonomy places the organism in Eukaryota, Metazoa, Chordata, Mammalia, Primates, Cercopithecidae.
UGUAUGUACACGCGAACUAGUGCUUUGACGUGCAUAUAUUUUUACAAAAACAAUAAGUUGGAUGGAAUGAAAUUUUAACAUUUAACAUGCGUAAGCAGUAUAUGCACAUGAGUAUUUUAAGUCAUAGUUACAAAGGAUUAUAAAUUCUUUUUUUAUACAAACUUAUGGUAUAUAUGUACAUACAUACAUACAUACAUACAUACAUUACAUACAUACAUACAUACCUAUACGCACAUACAUACCUAUACGCACAUACGUGUACCAUAUCUUUAUUUCCUUUUUUAAGAAUGAAUGAACUUAAUAAUAAUUACAGCGUUUCAAACAAAUACGACAGUGAAGGUGAUGGAGAGGGUGAUGAUUAUAUAACAUACCCAAUUAAAGAAAAAAAAAAAAAAAAAAAAAAAAUGUUUAGUUUAUCAAAUUCUACGUCCGAAGAACAUGAAAAUGUAUAUAAUAAUAUAGACUAUUUUUUUGAUAAUUAUGAAAAAAAAAACAAAAUAAAAAAGUUUUUAAAUGGUAAUAAUACAAAUACUACAAUUAUAGAUAAAAAAAAGUCUUAUAAUAAAAAAAAAAUUAUAAAUAAUAUCAGUGAGUUUAACGAACAGAGUAAUGAAUUAUUACAGUUAAGUUCUAACAGUAACGAACAAAGUUUUUAUCAUAGUACAAACCCAAACGGAUCACCAAAUGAAUCACCAAACGGAUCACCAAACAGAUCACCAAACAGAUCACCAAAUCAACCCCCAAAUGAAUCACCAAAUGAAAACAAAAACAUACUAAAUAAUAGUCAUAAAAACCAUAUUAAUUUUAAUAAAUAUCAACAAAUAAAUAACAAUUUGUUAGUUAUGGAUUUAUGGCAACAAAACCAUGAAAAAAGUACAGACGACGGGGAUAUAAACCUAAGUAAUGAAUGUAAGGAUAUAAAUUUAACAUAUUCGCAAAGUAAAAAUAAAAUAAAUCAAUAUAAAUCGAAUAUAAAUAACAGUCAAAUUAAUCAAAAUUAUAUCAAAUUCAAAUGUAAAAAUGUACAGAAUGUGAAUGAAACUAACAAACACAAAGAAAAAGGCAUUGCCUUGAAUAAUGACUCAAAUUAUAGUUUAGGUAAUAAAAAAGUGAUUGAAAAUAAAAACAGGAAGAAUGAAAAUAUGCAAAAGUAUACAUCAAGUAGUGAUUUAUUUUGUAUAGACAAUAACAACAUGAAGAAUACUUCUAAAGUUUAUAACAAUAAGAGUAAUCACUAUAUAUCGACUGAACACAUAAAGGAAGAAAGUGGUAAUGAUAUAGUAUACAGUAACGAAUUUGGUAGUAUUAAUAAAAAAAAAAGUAAAGAAAAAAUGGUUAUAAAAAAGUUACAUUCAAGUGAUGAAAAAAAAAAAAAAAAAAAAAAAGGUGACAACACAAACAAACAUUCGAACAGUAAUAGUAACAGUAACAGUAACAGUAACAGCUGUAAUGAUCUUAGUUUCGGUAAGAUUAGUGUUUCUUCUGACAUUUAUGAUAACAAUAGUGAUGUAUUAAUAAAAGAGAAAAAUAAAAAGAGUAGUGAUAAUGAAAGUGGCAAUAACAGAACGGAUAGUACAGACAAAAUUGGAAGUACAAACUAUCGAAACAAAAGACAUACAAACAAUGACAAUAGUGACAACAAUAAUCAACCAUUAAUUGAACAAAGGUAUAUAACAAACAGUGAAAAAAAAAAAACAUUAAAAGUAGUAGAUACAAAAUUACAAAAACAUUUACGAAAAAAUACAAUUUUGGAAAAUGAAAAUGUAGAUGACGAGUCUACAUCUGUAUGUAUUAAUGACAGUACACACAGUUUGAGUGUAGAAGAGGAAAUUAAUUUACCAAUGAAUGGAGAAAGGUUAAACAUGUUAAAUGGAAAUGUUAAUAGUACAAUCAUUGAAGAAUGUUCAAUAAAUAACAAGUUGGUUGAACUUUCUAAAAGCAAAACCAAAGAUACAAUAUACAG